This 802-nucleotide long non-coding RNA is filed under the name Triticum aestivum (bread wheat). Its description in RNAcentral is "long non-coding RNA (TAES_LNC006430)". Lineage: Eukaryota; Viridiplantae; Streptophyta; Magnoliopsida; Poales; Poaceae. The record is from RNAcentral.
AAUCAUGAAGUCUACAGACAUAAUGAACAUAUCAUCAACACAUGCAAAUACACAGAUCGGUAGAUAAUAAUUUGUCCAGAAACAUAAUGAUUAAGGCCACAUUAGUCCACAAAUCAUGUCAUCCACGACUCAAGACACAAGAGGACACACAUGACUCAAGACACAAGAGGACACACAUGACUCAAGACACAAGACUAGCUGACACAGAUCAUUCUGCCUUCAUAUCUCGCCAUCUGCUGCAUACAUGUUCUUUGCCCUGCACCAUCUCUUCAACCAUAUCAACCUAGCUUCAGGGGUCUUCAUGUUCUGGAAGACAGUUCUGUUGUGUUUCUCCUUGAAUAAAUCACAAGCAACAAAGUACUCAACUGACUCUUCUGAUGCUCCACACUCAAUGGCAAGGUUCUGACAGUUUUUUACUGACUGAGCACGUUCCUCACUUCUCCUAACCUUUUCAUUGCCUUGGUUCACAAGAGCCUGCAAAAUAGAGUCUGUUUUCUCACUUUCCUUCUCCAACUUAGUUUCAAUGUCCUUCAUAUAUUUUACAAAUGGACCCCGAGUUUUGCCUUGAGUACGAGGCAUGUUGUCUAAAGUUUUGCUUCUCUUUGAAGGACUACUAGCUAUACUCCUUAACUCUGAGCGGCUCCCUCUCUUUUGAGUGUUGGUACUCAUAGGGCUCGACACAAAGCCUUCAUUGCCAUCCAGGUCAUCAUCAUUAUUUAACUCCAAACAAUCUUCUGUCCCAGGAACAUAAGCAGAUGAACCAUCCACAGCGACCUCAUGAAAUAUCUCAUGUAACAGGGGC